This 202-nucleotide ribosomal RNA is filed under the name uncultured Bacillota bacterium. Its description in RNAcentral is "uncultured Firmicutes bacterium partial 16S ribosomal RNA". It matches the Rfam family "Bacterial small subunit ribosomal RNA", at positions 95 to 294 of the family's 1533-position model. Lineage: Bacteria; Bacillati; Bacillota. The record is from RNAcentral.
ACGGCGCACGGGUGAGUAACACGUGGGUAAUCUGCCCUAGACCGGGGAAUAAUUACCGGGAAACCGGUGCUAAUACCGCAUACGAUCGCGAUGUCUGGGGAUGUUGUGAUGAACGGAGCAAUUCGCUCUUGGAGGAGCCCGCGGCCGAUUAGCUAGUUGGUGAGGUACUGGCUCACCAAGGCAACGAUCAGUAGCCGGUCUG